This is a non-coding RNA of Cherax quadricarinatus, 818 nucleotides long. NCBI's taxonomy places the organism in Eukaryota, Metazoa, Arthropoda, Malacostraca, Decapoda, Parastacidae. The record is from RefSeq and is a predicted model, not a curated record.
AGGAUAAGUUAGGUUAGGUUAGGUUAGGUUAGGUUAGGAUAGGUUAGGUUAGGUUAGGACAGGUUAGGAUAGGUUAGGUUAGGUUAGGUUCGGUAGGUUAGGUAAGGUUAGGUUAGGUUAAGUUAGGUAGUAUUCGAGGUGUUUGAUGGAGUUAGGUUAGGUUAGGAUAGGUUAGGUUAGGUUAGGAUAGAGGUGUUUGAUGGAGUUAGGUUGGGUUAGGUUAGGUUAGGUUAGGUUAGGAUAGAGGUGAUUGAUGGAGUUAGGUUAGGUUCGGUUAGGUGAGGUUAGGUUAGGUUAGGAAUUAGGUUAGGUUAGGUUAGGUUAGGUUAGGAUAGACAGUUGGUCUGGAAAGAGAUGAUUUUCUACCUUGGAUGUUACCCGCAUUUCAUGGCGUCUGUCUGUCCUGAGUUGGCGCAGGUGUUCAUGAUUAUCUUAAAUCUACCUUGGGUGUGAACCGCAUUACCCAGUGGUGUUGGGGGGGGGGGAAGGGGUGACCCACAAUGAGUCUCUCAGAGCGAGGAAAGUGUUUCUAUUCGGAAAUCGAGUAAAUAUUUCUACCAUUGAGUGUGUUUACCAACAAGAAAAUAAUGUUCGAUUUUACGAUAAAGUUUUCAAAACUAAUUUGGAAAUAUCCAAAAAUGGAGUCGUUCAAAGUAAUUCUGGAGUACUCUAAUGUAUUUUUUGGAAGUGUUCCAAUAUAUUUUAGGUUAGGUUAGGAUAGGUUCGGCUAGGUUAGGUUGGGUUAGGUUAAGAUAGGUUAGGUUAGGUUAGGUAAUGGUUAGGCAAGGUUAGAUUAGGUUAGGUAAAGGUUAGGUUAG